UGUUCUUGAUUGUAGAGGAGAGGAAUAGGAUAUAGAUAGAUAGAUAGAUAGAUAGAUAGAUAGAUAGAUAGAUAGAUAGAUAGCAGGGGUUUGCGAAGAGAGGGGUCAUGAGGGAGGAAAGAGCCCCUUCAGGAGAAGGAGGCUGCCAUUGUGCGAAUUAGAUGAGGAAACGAGAUGAACAAGAUCUGUUAACUCAGGAAAGGAGAGAGAGAAAGAGAGAGAGAGAAAGAAGGGAGGAGAAGAAAGACAGAGGGGAGGAGAGAGAAAGAGAGAGAGAAAAGGGAGGGGAAGAGAGAAAGAAGGAAGGGGAAGGGCCCAAGCCUGUCAGAGGCCUGAGGGGAAUGAACGGCCAUGGCGGUGCCUACUGGCAGCAAAGAAGGGCCCAGUCAACCACUUCUGCUGUUUGGGGCUACCAAAGCCAUUGGUGGAAGGAGGCAGGCAGGCAAGGGACAGGCCCGGGCCUGUCAGCAGCCUGAGGGGAAUGAGCGGCCAUGGUGGUGGUGACAACGAGGAAGGGCCCGGUCAACUGCUGCUGCUGCUGCUCCUGUGGGGAGGGCCAAUAGGCGCCAGCAACGCUGUAGCCGCGACCAAGAGAGGUGAGGGGGAUGGAAGCAACUGGAUGGAGGAGGAGGAGCAGGAGUUCUGCUCAGGAUGUAAGGGAACCAGAAUUUAAGGUCUAUCAAAGGGGGUGAUUCUUUCCUAUACCCACUGUAUCGUCCUCUCUCUCUAGGCUGAGCAGAUGGAAUGGAAGACAGGGCUCCUGUACCUUUAGCAGUUGUAUAAAACAACAGAUUUUAGCAGAUUCAGCUUACUAUGCAGAGGUGAGAAAAGUGGAACCUGCUGAGAUUCCCUCUACUACACAACUAUUAAAAACAACAGAGGGCUGAUUUCAUUUGCAUCUGGUAACCUUCACUCCACCAGAUGAGGUUGAUGCCAUGCAGAGGUGUAUCAAGAUUCAAACGGGUCCUGGAACAAAAAGUGAAGGUGCGCCCUGUCAAGUCCUGAGCUUGGGACUGGGAGAUUAGUGAUUAAAAUAUAUAGAUGUUGAAAUAAACAAUCUGCUCGUGGCCCUUUGA
Hemicordylus capensis (graceful crag lizard) is the source of this 1076-nucleotide long non-coding RNA. RefSeq lists it as uncharacterized. The record is from RefSeq and is a predicted model, not a curated record. The transcript is spliced from 2 exons. Lineage: Eukaryota; Metazoa; Chordata; Lepidosauria; Squamata; Cordylidae.